Molecule: unclassified non-coding RNA, 478 nt
Filed under: Candida albicans
Lineage: Eukaryota; Fungi; Ascomycota; Pichiomycetes; Serinales; Debaryomycetaceae
Description: sequence contains 18S rRNA gene, ITS1, 5.8S rRNA gene, ITS2, 28S rRNA gene
Rfam family: 5.8S ribosomal RNA (bases 140-293)
Source: RNAcentral
CUGAUUUGCUUAAUUGCACCACAUGUGUUUUUCUUUGAAACAAACUUGCUUUGGCGGUGGGCCCAGCCUGCCGCCAGAGGUCUAAACUUGCAACCAAUUUUUUAUCAACUUGUCACACCAGAUUAUUACUAAUAGUCAAAACUUUCAACAACGGAUCUCUUGGUUCUCGCAUCGAUGAAGAACGCAGCGAAAUGCGAUACGUAAUAUGAAUUGCAGAUAUUCGUGAAUCAUCGAAUUUUUGAACGCACAUUGCGCCCUCUGGUAUUCCGGAGGGCAUGCCUGUUUGAGCGUCGUUUCUCCCUCAAACCGCUGGGUUUGGUGUUGAGCAAUACGACUUGGGUUUGCUUGAAAGACGGUAGUGGUAAGGCGGGAUCGCUUUGACAAUGGCUUAGGUCUAACCAAAAACAUUGCUUGCGGCGGUAACGUCUACCACGUAUAUCUUCAAACUUUGACCUCAAAUCAGGUAGGACUACCCGCU